Molecule: long non-coding RNA, 1970 nt
Filed under: Cairina moschata (Muscovy duck)
Lineage: Eukaryota; Metazoa; Chordata; Aves; Anseriformes; Anatidae
Description: domestica (muscovy Duck (domestic type)) lncRNA (ENSCMMG00000014862.1)
Source: RNAcentral
AAAUUCUGUGAGACAGCCCCGGGCACAGGGCACCAGUACUGCGCCGUGCGUCAUUUCACGGACCUCAAUGUUUUGUUAUCAACCGGCCCAGAAUAUUUUUGUGCGCUUUUAUUUUCAGCCCACCCCGACCCCUUUGUCGCUUUCAUUCCACUUUUAUUUUUAUUUCUAUUUCGAUUUUUAUUUUUAUUCCUCACUUCAUUAACCCGAACCAACCCCCCCCCCCCCCCCCCAACCCCCAGCGCGCUGCCUCCCCGCUUCCGGCUUCCCCGCCUCGCCCCCCCCCCCUCCCACUCCCGCGCGCUGACGUCACGGCGGCGGACCCCGGAAGCGGAGCGGAGCGGAACGAGGCGGGGUGGGGAGGGGAGGGGGGUGGGGAGGCGCCGGCCCCGCCCCGCCCCGCGUGUCCGGGCGCAGGCUGAACAGUCCCAGCUCUUGCUGCCUCUUCCCAGCUGUCAGAUGCUCCACGCUCCUCCUCACCUCUGUCACCUUUCACCGGACCCCCUGCAGGACGGCCGUGCCUGUCUCGUGCUGGGGAGCCCAGAGCUGGACGCAGCACUCCAGGCCUCAUGUCAAGCUUGCGCAACAUCAGGUGUAAAGGCUAGAAUUUCUUCCCUGCACCCUUCUAAAUUGUGGAAUUUCCCCUUUCCAACUUGGAAAAGCCUGAAGCAAUACUAGCUAUAUUUCUGAAGCUUCAGAGACAGCUACCCAAAAGCUCUACCUGUUGGAGUGAAGACAUUUGCUUCCAAAGACCCUUGCAAGAUUGAGAACUAUUUUAAAGUUGGGCCAUUUUUGGUGUAGGCUUGUUUAAGCAGUUGCUUUCCACUUCGUUUGAAGUUUAUAAGGAAUUCUUGUGGGAGUGAAAUAUCUGGCUAGUUAAGAUGUAUUUUACCAGAGAUAUAAAAUAAUAUUUGUCUCCUUGUUGUGGUAUAACCCAGCAGGCAGCUCAGCACCGUGCAGCUGUUGGCUCGCCCCCCACCUCCCAGUGCGACAGGGAAGAGAACUGUGAGGGGGAAAAAAGAUAAAAAUCAUGGGUUGAGAUAAAGACAGCUUAAUAGGACAGAAAAGGAAGGGAAAUAAUAAUGAUAAUAAUAGCUACAGAAUGUACAAAGCAAGUGAUGCACAGUGCAACUCCAUCAUCUGACCGAUGCCCAGCCAGACCCUGAGCAGCAGCAGCCCCCUGGCCAGCCCCCACAUAUAAUUGUCCUGCAUGAAGCCCCACGGUAUGGGACAUCUCUCUGGUGGCUGGGGGCGGCUGUCCUGGCUCUGUCCCCUGCCAGCUCCUCACUGGCAGGGCAGUGUGAGAAGCUGGGAAGUCCUUGGCUUAGUGCAAGCACUGCUCUGCAACAGCUACAGGUCGGUGUGUGUCGUGGUUUAACCCGGCCGGCAGCUAAACACCACGCAGCCGUUCGCUCGCCCUCCCCCUCCCUCUCCGGGACGGGGGAGAGAAAUGGAAAGUAAAGCCCGUGAGUUGAGAUAAAGACAGUUUAAUAAGACAGGAAAGUAAUAAUAACAACAAUAAUAAUAAUAAUAAUACAAUGGUAGUAAUAGUACUACUGCUAAUAAUAUGUACAAACAAGUGAUGCACAAUGCAAUUGCUCACCACCCGCUGACCGAUGCCCAGCCUAACCCCGAGCAGUCCGGCCCCCUCCCCCCGGCUAGCCACCCCUAUAUAUCGUUUAGCAUGACCCCAGAUGGGAUGGAAUACCCCUUUGGCUAGUUUGGGUCACCUGUCCUGGGUCUGUCCCCUCCCAGCUCUUACUGCACCCCCCAGCCUGCCUGUUGGCAGGACAGAGCAAAAGGUGUCCGUGGCUCUGCUCCGUAACAAUUAAAACAUCGGGGUGUUAUCAGCACUCUUCUCAUCCCAAGCCAAAACACAGCAUUCCACCAGCUACUAGGAAGAAAAUUCUGUUCUAACUGAAAACAGGACAGUGUGUUAUCAGCAUUGUUCUCAUCCUGAAUCCAAAACACUG